Molecule: long non-coding RNA, 1172 nt
Filed under: Homo sapiens (human)
Lineage: Eukaryota; Metazoa; Chordata; Mammalia; Primates; Hominidae
Description: HSALNT0366229
Source: RNAcentral
GAACUAGAAAAUGAAUAUGAAGUUAUCACUGUGUUUAACUUCCAACUUUGCUCUCUGAUUCCAAUAGUCGUCACAGUUUUCUGAAAACCUGAAAUGUAACGUAUGUGACGUUGCUUCUCCCUAGUGAUUCAGCAAACAAAAGCCUGAAAUUCUUCUCCAAAUCUCCAUUUUCCCCCACAUUCCUAAUUCAAGCUCAAAGCUUUAUUUAAUUUAACCACAUUUAACACAUAAUUUUUAGUUAUGUGCUCUGAUUGAUGCAGUAUUUCUUAUGGAUAUAGACUUUGAAUCCAUUGUAUGACCUCGAAAAGAAUUUAGAGUUUAGACAAUUUAGAAUUUGGAACCAAUUUCAGUGUCUCCAGAAAAGAUCCAAAGUUGAUAGCUUGCCGCUUCUCCCCGUAUGGUGAGCCAUCUCACUGUGCUCAAGAGACUGCUACAUCCUGGAGAAGGGGAUAACACAGAGGGACACAGAGAUUUUUUAUUUACAGAAAUAGUAUCUGGAAGUGCCCUUUGGUUUACUAUCUUGAUCUUUUAUGUUAAGCAACUACGAAUGUUUGAAAGGGAGAACAAAAAAAUCGCCACUAAGAGAAGGAAAUAUUACCUGAAGAAGGCCGGGCGCGGUGGCUCACGCCUGUAAUCCCAGCACUUUGGGAGGCCAAGGCAGGCGGAUCACGAGCGCAGCUUAACUUGGACUCACCACCUAUCAAGUGCUCGACAGCCACGUGUGCAGUGGUUCCUACGUGGAGCAGCAUACAUCCAGAGAUGCAAAUAUUAAUGAGGACAGUGCUAGUAACAGAGUUGCUGAGCAAUCUAUGUCCCCUUGUAAGAACCAGUGCCCCAGGGGAAGAAACAGAACUCCACAAGGUAGCAGUGUGGGUGUAGUACCCGCAUGUGCCCAUGUUAUGGGAAUGUAGAUGGGGAGUGACCACCGCCAACAGAAGUGUGGCCAUCUUGCCCGAGAUGCCUGAGGACCUCCUAUUUUUAGAUGCUGCUGCCCAAGGCCUGUAUUUCAUGCUAUGGCUUUUGUCAUUUGAAUUAUCAGUAGCUGUCUCGGAGCUAUUACGCUUCACUGGGCCCUGGAGGAUAUUGUCUUAUACAGUCCACUGGGUUUUGGAUAUGCAGUCUGUGCCUUUCAUUGCCUUCCUGGAAAAUAAUAACUAAACUCUUCCUCACCA